GGAAAUAUGAGAAUCAAGAAUAGGCUUCUAACUUAAUUCUUAAGCGAUGAAACUUCGUUUAUAUUUCUA
RNAcentral lists this transfer RNA (69 nucleotides) under Dorysthenes granulosus. RNAcentral's name for it is "tRNA-Ser". Lineage: Eukaryota; Metazoa; Arthropoda; Insecta; Coleoptera; Cerambycidae. The record is from RNAcentral.